AUUGAACGCUGGCGGCAUGCUUUACACAUGCAAGUCGAACGGCAGCGCGGGCUUCGGCCUGGCGGCGAGUGGCGAACGGGUGAGUAAUGCAUCGGAACGUGCCCAGUAGUGGGGGAUAGCCCGGCGAAAGCCGGAUUAAUACCGCAUACGACCUGAGGGUGAAAGCGGGGGACCGAAAGGCCUCGCGCUAUUGGAGCGGCCGAUGUCGGAUUAGCUAGUUGGUGGGGUAAAGGCUUGCCAAGGCGACGAUCCGUAGCUGGUCUGAGAGGACGACCAGCCACACUGGGACUGAGACACGGCCCAGACUCCUACGGGAGGCAGCAGUGGGGAAUUUUGGACAAUGGGGGCAACCCUGAUCCAGCCAUGCCGCGUGCGGGAAGAAGGCCUUCGGGUUGUAAACCGCUUUUGUUCGGGAAGAAAUCCUCUGGGCUAAUACCCCGGGGGGAUGACGGUACCGGAAGAAUAAGCACCGGCUAACUACGU
RNAcentral lists this ribosomal RNA (483 nucleotides) under uncultured bacterium. Its description in RNAcentral is "partial 16S ribosomal RNA". It matches the Rfam family "Bacterial small subunit ribosomal RNA", at positions 28 to 506 of the family's 1533-position model. The record is from RNAcentral.